Molecule: non-coding RNA, 121 nt
Organism: Picea glauca (white spruce)
Lineage: Eukaryota; Viridiplantae; Streptophyta; Pinopsida; Pinales; Pinaceae
Source: Rfam
ACAUGCCUACAAAAUAGAGUUAAUGCACCGGAUACCAUUAGAACUUUGUCGUUAAGCACGCUCAGGCUAGAGUAGUAUUGGGAUGGGUGACCGCCCAAGAAUUCCUAGUGUUUUACAUGCC